RNAcentral lists this ribosomal RNA (441 nucleotides) under Triticum aestivum (bread wheat). RNAcentral's name for it is "partial small subunit ribosomal RNA". Lineage: Eukaryota; Viridiplantae; Streptophyta; Magnoliopsida; Poales; Poaceae. The record is from RNAcentral.
AUGCGCCAACCCCGCCAUCAGCUGUCGAUUCAGCUGCCUACUUACACCCUCGUCGCCCUCCCUAGUCCAUUAACAUCACCCGCUCCUUUCAACUCUCGUAUAGUUCUUUGUGGCCCUCAAAUCUGGAAGCCCUCAGCCAUGACGCUGCCGGAUCUGAUCUGCUUGGCCUUAUCACCGCAACCAAUAGGUGCUCGGCGCGAUGACACCUCUCCUCAGGACCGCAAGGGUAUUCUUCAUCGGCUCUCUAUCCCUCUGCCUCCUUCACCAUGGAUCGGCCUUCUUCCCUUUCUUGAAGCUCCUCCUCAUCCAACUGGUUACCUGAUGUUGCCAUGUGGACCAUGCUCACUCGUGCCUUUGCUAGCCAGUACCAGGUUUGGUUGCCACCUCCUUUGCACAAUUCGUCAAGCAGGUCAUCUGUGUGGCGUAUGUGUGCUAUUGUAA